GAUGAACGCUGGCGGCGUGCCUAACACAUGCAAGUCGAACGGUUAAGGCGGCUUCGGCCGCGAAUAAAGUGGCGAACGGGUGAGUAGCGCGUGACCGACCUUCCCCUCGCACCGGGACAACCGCGGGAAACCGCGGCCGAUACCGGGUACUCCGGGGCCCUCGCAUGGGGGCCCCGGGAAAGCUCCGGCGGCGGGGGAUGGGGUCGCGUCCCAUCAGGUAGUAGGCGGGGCAACGGCCCACCUAGCAGACGACGGGUAGCCGGGUUGAGAGACCGAGCGGCCACAUUGGGACUGAGAUACGGCCCAGACCCCGACGGGAGGCAGCAGUGGGGAAUUUUGGACAAUGGGCGCAAGCCUGAUCCAGCCAUGCCGCGUGAGUGAAGAAGGCCGUCGGGUUGUAAAGCUCUUUCGGCGGGGACGAAACGGUCCGUGACAACACCACGGACUAAUGACGGUACUCGCAGAAGAAGCACCGGCUAACUACGUGCCAGCCGCCGCAGUAA
RNAcentral lists this ribosomal RNA (503 nucleotides) under uncultured bacterium. RNAcentral's name for it is "partial 16S ribosomal RNA". It matches the Rfam family "Bacterial small subunit ribosomal RNA", at positions 28 to 523 of the family's 1533-position model. The record is from RNAcentral.